Molecule: ribosomal RNA, 487 nt
Filed under: uncultured bacterium
Lineage: Bacteria
Description: partial 16S ribosomal RNA
Rfam family: Bacterial small subunit ribosomal RNA
Source: RNAcentral
GAUGAACGCUAGCGAUAGGCUUAACACAUGCAAGUCGAGGGGCAGCACAAGGUAGCUUGCUAUCUGGGUGGCGACCGGCGCACGGGUGCGUAACGCGUAUGCAACUUGCCCUAUACAGGAGGAUAACCCGUCGAAAGACGGACUAAUACUGCGUAUGCUCACGACUUGGCAUCAAGUGGUGAGGAAAGAAAUUCGGUAUAGGAUAGGCAUGCGUCCCAUUAGCUUGUUGGUGAGGUAACGGCUCACCAAGGCAACGAUGGGUAGGGGAACUGAGAGGUUUAUCCCCCACACUGGUACUGAGACACGGACCAGACUCCUACGGGAGGCAGCAGUGAGGAAUAUUGGUCAAUGGGCGCGAGCCUGAACCAGCCAAGUCGCGUGAAGGAUGACUGUCUUAUGGAUUGUAAACUUCUUUUAUACGGGAAUAACAAGAGUCACGUGUGACUCCCUGCAUGUACCGUAUGAAUAAGCAUCGGCUAACUCCGUG